This 496-nucleotide ribosomal RNA is filed under the name uncultured bacterium. RNAcentral's name for it is "bacterial SSU rRNA". It matches the Rfam family "Bacterial small subunit ribosomal RNA", at positions 29 to 521 of the family's 1533-position model. The record is from RNAcentral.
AUUGAACGCUGGCGGCGUGCCUAACACAUGCAAGUCGAGCGGCAGCGCGGGAGCAAUCCUGGCGGCGAGCGGCGGACGGGUGAGUAAUGCUUGGGAAUCUGCCUGUUAGUGGGGGACAACCCGGGGAAACUCGGGCUAAUACCGCAUACGCACUACGGUGGAAAGCCGGGGACCGCAAGGCCUGGCGCUAACAGAUGAGCCCAAGUCGGAUUAGCUAGUUGGUAGGGUAACGGCCACCAAGGCGACGAUCCGUAACUGGUCUGAGAGGACGACCAGUCACACCGGGACUGAGACACGGCCCAGACUCCUACGGGAGGCAGCAGUGGGGAAUAUUGGACAAUGGGCGCAAGCCUGAUCCAGCGAUGCCGCGUGUGUGAAGAAGGCCUGCGGGUUGUAAAGCACUUUCAGUAGGGAAGAAAGCCGAGUGCUAAUAUCAUUCGGUCUUGACGUUACUUACAGAAGAAGCACCGGCUAACUCCGUGCCAGCAGCAGCCGC